UUACGGCCAUAUAGCGUUGAAACACCGGUUCCUGUACGAUUACCGAAGUUAAACAACAUCGAGCCUGGUCAGUACUUAGAUGGUUUACAUCUUAGGAAUACUAGGAGUUGUAAG
This is a non-coding RNA of Acanthosepion pharaonis, 114 nucleotides long. NCBI's taxonomy places the organism in Eukaryota, Metazoa, Mollusca, Cephalopoda, Sepiida, Sepiidae. The record is from the annotation of a GenBank genome assembly.